Molecule: ribosomal RNA, 279 nt
Filed under: uncultured bacterium
Lineage: Bacteria
Description: partial 16S ribosomal RNA
Rfam family: Bacterial small subunit ribosomal RNA
Source: RNAcentral
UGCCAGUCGCCGCGGUAAUACGGAGGGUGCAAGCGUUGUUCGGAUUUAUUGGGCGUAAAGCGAGUGUAGGCGGUUUAGCAAGUCGGAUGUGAAAUCCCAGGGCCCAACCCUGGAACUGCACCCGAUACUGUUAGGCUAGAGUCCCGGAGAGGAUGGCGGAAUUCCCGGUGUAGGGGUGAAAUCCGUAGAUAUCGGGAGGAACACCAGUGGCGAAGGCGGCUAACUGGCUCGGUACUGACGCUGAGAUGCGAAAGCGUGGGGAGCAAACAGGAUUAGAUA